This 57-nucleotide transfer RNA is filed under the name Agama bottegi. Its description in RNAcentral is "tRNA-Ser". Lineage: Eukaryota; Metazoa; Chordata; Lepidosauria; Squamata; Agamidae. The record is from RNAcentral.
GAGAUUAAAUAUGAACUGCUAAAUCACACACCCCGAACUUAAAUACUCGGACUUCUC